CUUAUACUCCCUCCGUUCGGAAUUACUUGUCUCAGAUAUGGAUCUAUCUAGAACUAAAAUACGUCUAGAUACAUCCAUUUCCGCGACAAGUAAUUCCGAACGGAGGGAGUAUUAU
This is a non-coding RNA of Triticum aestivum (bread wheat), 115 nucleotides long. The record is from Rfam. Lineage: Eukaryota; Viridiplantae; Streptophyta; Magnoliopsida; Poales; Poaceae.